This 2945-nucleotide long non-coding RNA is filed under the name Sus scrofa (pig). RNAcentral describes it as "lncRNA (ENSSSCG00015055425.1)". The record is from RNAcentral. Lineage: Eukaryota; Metazoa; Chordata; Mammalia; Artiodactyla; Suidae.
GCAUAAGGCCCUCCAAGUCCAUCCCUGCUGUUGCAAAUGGCAAAAUUUCAUUCCUUUUUUAUGGCUUUGUAGUAUUCCAUUGUAUAUCUGUACCAAAUUUUCUUUAUCCAUUCAUCUCUUGAUGGACAUUUAGGUGGCUUCCAUGUCUUGCUUAUUGUGAAUAGUCCUAUGCUAUGAACAUUGGGCUGCACGUGUCCUUUUCAAUGAGUGUUUUUGUUUUUUUCAGAUAUAUACCCAGGAGUGGAAUUGCUGGGUCCUAUGAUAAUUCUAUUUUUAGUAUAACCUCUAUACUUUUUUUUUUUUUUUUUUUUUUUUUUGCAUAGUGGUUGCAUCAAGCUUACAUUUGUCCCAACGGGGUAGGAGGAUUCCCUUUUCUCCACACCUUCUCCAGCAUUUGUUAUUUGUGUUCUUUUUAGUGGUGGCCAUUCUGACAGCUGUGAGGCGAUAGCUCAUUGGCUCAAAUUAUUAUUUUUUUUUCUUGUUCUUUGGGGUACACUGGUAUUCCUUCCUGUUAAAGGUUAUUAUACCAGUUUUCAUCACUUAAAUUUGCUAAAUGCAUAAUAGUGCGUAUUUGGUACUUAUACCAGGCAUGCCCUUUGAAAAUAGGGGGAAAAAGGAGAUUUUUGGUAGCUUUUGAUACAGUGAUAAUUCCAAAUUUAUAAUAAUUGAGUUCAUGUGAUUCUUACUAGAAUAGAAGCUUGAAAAUUACUCUUUUUGUAAUUUGUGUGGCUCCCAUUCAGUUUGGAUAAGAAAGCCAGUUUAAAUGUACAUGUGUUCAGAGAAUGGCUUUAGAAGUGAGAAUUAUUGCCUUAAUUUCAGUAACUCAUAAUUUCUGUAUAUUAAACAUUUUAAUGUCAGUGAUACAUUACUCUGGUGUUAGCCUAUUGGAAAUGAUCAUUUUCUCAUUUUAUAGUAGAGUUUAUAGUGUGUGAUGUAUAUAUAAGUAGUGAAACUGCAUUUCCUCAAAUAGGCUUUCCUAGUUAGGCUUUUACUGGAGUAGCCAUAGUCUUUGACAUUUUAUUACUGCCUGUUUGUAAGGUUUUUUGGCAUAAGGGUAGUUUCAACAUACCCUGUUCUGGGAAUAGAGAGAAAAAGUUAAGGGAAUUCUGUUUGAGUCAUACCCAACCAAAGAGCAGCAUCAUUUUAGGAAUUCAAGCAGAGAAGUUCUCACUCUUCUAAAAAUAGUGGGGGGAAGAUUUAGGAGGUGGCUUAUGGGAUCACUUUUAAGACCAGGCCAGAUAUACAUACUAAUUCCCUCUUUGUAACUGAGAAGUCAAGCUUGCAUAUAUGGUUUGGUGAGGAGGUGAAAUUUCAGUUCACCUAAAGCAGGACACUGCCAUAAGUAUUACCUGUUGAAACUUGCCUUGUAGGGUUUAAACAUGUCCUCUUCAGGAUUUUAGUCAUUUCUAAUAAAGCCACUGGCAUUUUAUUAAAAAAUCAUGUAUAUUUUUGGAGAGGGCAAGGUGAGGGAGUGGGAAUUGUGGAUUGUUUUUGCUUUUCCUUAUCUGUCUUCUAAGAAGUGAUGGGAAAGGGCGUUCCCAUUGUGGCUCAGUGGUAAUGAACCCAACUAGUGUCCAUGAGGAUGCAGGUUCGAUCCCUGGCCUCACUCAGUGGGUUAAGGAUCUGGCGUUGCUGUGAGCCGCAGGGUAGGUCACAGACGUGGCUCAGAUCUAGUCUAUAUUGCUGUGGCCUAUUGGUGUAGGCCGGCAGCUGUAGCUCCCAUUCAAUCCCUAGCCAGGGAGCUUCCAUAUGCUGCAGGUGCAGCCCUAAAAAAAAGAGAAGUGAUGGGAAUGGAAGGACCGAAACCUCAAAAGUUAUUGUGGCUUUCUCCUCAGGACAGGGGUUCCCUCGUCCACCCCGAACACUUGCAUCUCCGUGGUCCUAAAAAAGAGGAGAGGAGAAAGGCGAUGGUUCUUUUCGAACUUGGUUUUAGCCUCUGCUGCAAUUCCAAAACAAUGAAGACUCACCAAGACUUGGGAGUCCACUGGGGUUUAGUGGGUGGGGCAGAAAACAGGGAUUCUGGCUCAAGACGGCUGCUAUAGCGUGAGCGUUGAUGAAGAGAGUGUGGGUUGGAAGUUACUUAUUAGACCCGUUCGUUAUACCUUGGCUGGUAUUCAGAGCUUGGGUCUCCCUGUCACCAUGACGAAGGAUGGGAGCCAGCAGCAUCGUGGCCUGUCCAAUCCAUUCUGACUGCCGAGCCCUUGUUAUUUAGAAGAUUGUCAUUGGAAUCAGAGUUUAGACCCUCAGAGCCAUGGCUUGGAGGAGAUUCAGGCAACGCUCAAACUAGAACCCCAGACUUCUGACGCCCUGCCAGCUUACUGACCUCCAGCUUGUGUUUGGUUUUCUUUCUGGCGUGUUUUCACAAUAACAGAAACGUUCAAGUCAAAUCACUCUACUAAGUGGGAAAAUUUUUUUUUUAGGUCAACCAGGGGAAUGGAGUGAAUAGAUUUACUUUUCAGUUGGGUGUGUUUGGUCAUGUGAAGAAAACCACACACUCAGAAAGUCUUCGUGUUAGGAUUUUUUUUAACUCAAAAUGAUUAAAGGGCGGUGGAGUAGGGAACAGACCUUCUACAUAGCACACUGUCUACACCUCCGUUCGGUUACCUGCACUCCUGUUGGGUGUUUUGGGGCUCGUUUGAAGGUGAGAGGUUGGUUCUGGCCCCCUGACCACCCCGUCUCCUUCUGCUAAGGAAAUAUUCUCAUGAGUUUUUUUUUUUUUUUUUUUUCUUUUACAAUGUGCUUAGACUGUGAAAAGGCACCAACUUCCAGCCCAAACUGAAUCGCCUCCGAGAUCCUAUUAAACAGCGAAUGCCCCGCACACCACUGUAUGAAAAUGUUUUUCUAGGAUGAGCUCAAAGCAUUUCAUCCUCCAAAUGAAAUCUAUCUGCUCGCACUUAGAUUGUUCGAAGGCAGAUGGUAGGCAAUUGAAACAGAGAGGCAAGCUG